CUAAUUUAUAGCUUUUGAUGAUUUCUGUGAUGUAGAAGAUAGCACUGAACAUGUAACAAUCAGCUAUGUAAUAAUGCACCAAUGAAAAUGUAACAGUGAGUCAGUAGAAGCUGGCUCCAGCACCUCCCUAGGUAACAGCCACAGUCAGGGACACAAUAUAGAUGAUGAAUCAACAAAGGAGACAGAGAAAAAUAUUAAAAUGCCUGUCAAAUACUGUCUGUGAGCCAAUUUAAUAGGUAGUGUGCUUUCCUCUGCCCUCGACUUCUGGAUCUCUGAAAGAUAGUAAGGAAAAAUCAGUCAUGCAGAGUGACUCCAUGCUGCAGAGGUGGAAGCUACAAAUCUAUCAGGAAAGAAGAAUUCAGGAACAAGUUCUGUGUACAUCUGGGGUUUUCGUUGCUCCUGGACCACAAAGCUGCUUGACUUUCAAGGGCAGAUAAGAGAGUGGUGAUCUGGGUACCGGUUUCACUUUUCACGGCACUUGAGAAGGGUUUUGAAGAGCAAGGGGCCAACAUCACUGUCUGUCCUCCAUCCAGGAUUACAGAGGCUGCAGUGGCAAUGUCACCGGGGCAUGGCCAGAGGCACAUUAAAUAAAAUCCCAAUAAAGCUUCCA
This 610-nucleotide long non-coding RNA is filed under the name Monodelphis domestica (gray short-tailed opossum). Its description in RNAcentral is "lncRNA (ENSMODG00000035808.2)". The record is from RNAcentral. Lineage: Eukaryota; Metazoa; Chordata; Mammalia; Didelphimorphia; Didelphidae.